ACCAUAAAUGACUCUCGGCAACGGAUAUCUCGGCUCCACGCAUCGAUGAAGAACGUAGCAAAAUGCGAUACUUGGUGUGAAUUGCAGAAUCCCGUGAACCAUCGAGUUUUUGAACGCAAGUUGCGCUCGAAACCUUCAGGUUGAGGGCACGCCUGCCUGGGCGUCACGC
This 169-nucleotide ribosomal RNA is filed under the name Willemetia stipitata. It matches the Rfam family "5.8S ribosomal RNA". From Rfam's summary of the family: 5.8S ribosomal RNA (5.8S rRNA) is a component of the large subunit of the eukaryotic ribosome. It is transcribed by RNA polymerase I as part of the 45S precursor that also contains 18S and 28S rRNA. Functionally, it is thought that 5.8S rRNA may be involved in ribosome translocation. Lineage: Eukaryota; Viridiplantae; Streptophyta; Magnoliopsida; Asterales; Asteraceae. The record is from RNAcentral.